Molecule: long non-coding RNA, 1282 nt
Organism: Mercurialis annua (annual mercury)
Lineage: Eukaryota; Viridiplantae; Streptophyta; Magnoliopsida; Malpighiales; Euphorbiaceae
Exons: 6
Source: RefSeq, a predicted model, not a curated record
CACCAAUGGAGCCGUGACACCUCAGCACCGUGUAUGAAUUUGAGAAAAAAUCACUACAAAAUAUGAGAGUUAAGGGGACAAGUAAAUUGGACGACUAAUAAAUAAUGGUCCCCUAAACCUUUCACCUAAAUUAUACAGGGACCAAAAAAAUUAUCGUCCGCAAUUCAUCUAAAAUUCCACAAUAGGGGACGAUAAUUAAAUUGUUCUUCUCGAGACGAAUUAAAAUCUCUUUUUUUAGUACCCUUACCUUUGUUCUCAGUUUUUUAAUUGAUAAUAAAACCCUAAACUCAAAUUAGCUGUGUUUUUCUUUGGUUAGAAUCAAAAAAGAAAAAAAAUAUAAAUUUUCAAUUCCUUCUCAAGAUCCGAAAACCUCUUUUAUCUUUCUCUCUAUCAAUCAAAUUUAUCACUUGUUUGGUUAAUCGAAGUCAGUGUACACUACAAGCUUGAACAACAAUUUAUUGUAAAUAGGAGGGCCAAUAUGAUUCUGGAGCAUUUCUUUGAUUCUUAAUAAAGAGAACAGAUUAAAAUCUUGUCUAUUGAAGAAGGUGUUAAUGGAUAGAGUUAUAGCCUACAGGGAGGAUGUAUAUCCAUUUCAGCUAAACAUUGCUGAAAUUGAGGAUUGAUGGUUCAUAGUCAACUAGGGAGAUGCUAUGGUUAUUGAAUUAGCAUUGAAGCUUGAUAAUGGUCAAGAAUGUCAAUUAAAUGGUUUGUGUGAAACUUGAAGUAAGCUUAUUUAGAUUUCAGUGAUGUUUUCUCCUACUCCUAAGGAACAAGAUGCACGACAAACGAACAUAAUAUGUGUUUUUGAUGUUAUCAAAUGUUUAUGGCCGAAAUGCAUGGUAGAAGUGUUUGGUUCUUAGAGAAAUGAACAAGUGAUAUUGAUUUAAGUAAAGCUUUUCCAGAAGUACACUUCCUAUUUUGAUGAAUAGGUGAUUGUAAAGGGUUGUGCCAAUUAUAUUAACUCGAGUGAUUUGAUACAAUUUUAUGCGAACACAACACAACGGCACCCCUGCACCAACCUCAGACAGAAGCAACAGUAGUAUAAGGCAACAUCAAAAUGACAACGCGUGCUUAGGCGAAAAAGUAUCAUUUUCGUGAAGACUUAAUGAAGUUAAUGUGAUCUUUUUAUUAUAUAUACACGAUUAUCUUACUUCAUUUAUUUGUUUAUGAUAUUUAGUAGAUUUUUUUUAACAUGUACUGUUAUUUCAGACAUAAUUUUUAAUGCACUGAAUUAUUGUAUGUUUCAUUUUUGAAUGAUAUAAUAAUAUUACAUAUUUAAAUA